AAUGUACUCCCUCUGUCCGGAAAUACUUGUCCGAGGAAUGAAUGUAUUUAGAUGUAUUUUAGUUCUAAUUACAUCCAUUUAUAUCCAUUUCUACGACAAGUAUUUCCGGACGGAGGGAGUAGUUA
Non-coding RNA from Triticum aestivum (bread wheat), 125 nucleotides. Lineage: Eukaryota; Viridiplantae; Streptophyta; Magnoliopsida; Poales; Poaceae. The record is from Rfam.